Molecule: ribosomal RNA, 305 nt
Filed under: uncultured bacterium
Lineage: Bacteria
Description: bacterial SSU rRNA
Rfam family: Bacterial small subunit ribosomal RNA
Source: RNAcentral
AUUAUCCUACGGGAGGCAGCAGUGGGGGAUAUUGCACAAUGGGGGGAACCCUGAUGCAGCGACGCCGCGUGGGUGAAGAAGCGCCUCGGCGCGUAAAGCCCUGUCAGCAGGGAAGAAAAUGACGGUACCUGAAGAAGAAGCCCCGGCUAACUACGUGCCAGCAGCCGCGGUAAUACGUAGGGGGCAAGCGUUAUCCGGAUUUACUGGGUGUAAAGGGGGCGCAGACGGCUAUGCAAGCCAGGAGUGAAAGCCCGGGGCCCAACCCCGGGACUGCUCGUGGAACUGCGUGGCUGGAGUGCGGGCGG